GCCUACGGCCAUGCCACCCUGAACAAGCCCGAUCCUGUCUGAUCUUGGAAGCUAAGCAGGGUCGGGCCUGGUUAGUACUUGGAUAGGAGACCACCUAGGAAGACUGGGUGCUGUAGGCA
This 119-nucleotide ribosomal RNA is filed under the name Pteropus alecto (black flying fox). Lineage: Eukaryota; Metazoa; Chordata; Mammalia; Chiroptera; Pteropodidae. The record is from RNAcentral.